CAUUGAUAGCUUAAAAUCUAGAGCAUAGCACUGAAGAUGCUGGGGUGGCAAUUUUGUCUCAAGGCA
This 66-nucleotide transfer RNA is filed under the name Cominella adspersa. RNAcentral's name for it is "tRNA-Phe". Lineage: Eukaryota; Metazoa; Mollusca; Gastropoda; Neogastropoda; Buccinidae. The record is from RNAcentral.